This 446-nucleotide ribosomal RNA is filed under the name uncultured bacterium. RNAcentral's name for it is "partial 16S ribosomal RNA". It matches the Rfam family "Bacterial small subunit ribosomal RNA", at positions 338 to 795 of the family's 1533-position model. The record is from RNAcentral.
CCUACGGGGGGCAGCAGUCGAGAAUCAUUCACAAUGGGGGAAACCCUGAUGGUGCGACGCCGCGUGGGGGAAUGAAGGUCUUCGGAUUGUAAACCCCUGUCAUGUGGGAGCAAAUUAAAAAGAUAGUACCACAAGAGGAAGAGACGGCUAACUCUAUGCCAGCAGCCGCGGUAAUACAGAGGUCUCAAGCGUUGUUCGGAAUCACUGGGCGUAAAGCGUGCGUAGGCUGUUUCGUAAGUCGUGUGUGAAAGGCGCGGGCUCAACCCGCGGACGGCACAUGAUACUGCGAGACUAGAGUAAGGGAGGGGGAACCGGAAUUCUCGGUGUAGCAGUGAAAUGCGUAGAUAUCGAGAGGAACACUCGUGGCGAAGGCGGGUUCCUGGACAGUAACUGACGCUGAGGCACGAAGGCCAGGGGAGCGAAAGGGAUUAGAUACCCUAGUAGUC